AGUGGAGCGAGCAAUUUUAACGGAAUACCUUCGGGUAGGAAGAUAAAAGCGCGAGCGGCGGAUGGGUGAGUAACACGUGGGCAACCUGCCCUUUAGCUUGGGAUACCACUUGGAAACAGGUGCUAAUACCAAAUAAGAAGUAAGAGCGCAUGCUCAAGCUAUGAAAGGCGGCUUUCGAGCUGUCACUAAAGGAUGGGCCCGCGGUGCAUUAGCUAGUUGGUAAGGUAACGGCUUACCAAGGCGACGAUACAUAGCCGACCUGAGAGGGUGAUCGGCCACACUGGGACUGAGACACGGCCCAGACUCCUACGGGAGGCAGCAGUAGGGAAUCUUCCACAAUGGACGCAAGUCUGAUGGAGCAACGCCGCGUGAGUGAAGAAGGUUUUCGGAUCGUAAAGCUCUGUUGUUGGUGAAGAAGGAUAAGGAUAGUAACUGAUUCUUAUUUGACGGUAAUCAACCAGAAAGUCACGGCUAACUACGUGCCAGCAGCCGCGGUAAUACGUAGGUGGCAAGCGUUGUCCGGAUUUAUUGGGCGUAAAGCGAACGCAGGCGGGAGAACAAGUCAGCUGUGAAAGCCCNCNGCUUAACNGNGGAANNGCAACUGAAACUGUUUUUCUUGAGUGCAGAAGAGGAGAGUGGAACUCCAUGUGUAGCGGUGAAAUGCGUAGAUAUAUGGAAGAACACCAGUGGCGAAGGCGGCUCUCUGGUCUGUAACUGACGCUGAGGUUCGAAAGCAUGGGUAGCGAACAGGAUUAGAUACCCUGGUAGUCCAUGCCGUAAACGAUGAGUGCUAAGUGUUGGGAGUGGAGGUCGCUAGAUGGUC
This 823-nucleotide ribosomal RNA is filed under the name insect metagenome. Its description in RNAcentral is "bacterial SSU rRNA". It matches the Rfam family "Bacterial small subunit ribosomal RNA", at positions 60 to 848 of the family's 1533-position model. The record is from RNAcentral.